GGGCAGGGAGGUUCGACUCGAGCGAAGCGAGAGAACGUUGCGCCAGCAACGGCCCGCAGGGCGAGCCACGAAGUGGCGAGUAAUCCUCUAUCACCGACCA
This 100-nucleotide small RNA is filed under the name Escherichia coli. Its description in RNAcentral is "partial RtT sRNA". It matches the Rfam family "RtT RNA", at positions 34 to 130 of the family's 130-position model. From Rfam's summary of the family: This family represents a bacterial cis-regulatory element known as RtT RNA. The exact function of RtT is unknown although it is thought that it may be involved in changing the cellular response in relation to amino acid starvation. Lineage: Bacteria; Pseudomonadati; Pseudomonadota; Gammaproteobacteria; Enterobacterales; Enterobacteriaceae. RNAcentral also lists the same sequence under 1 other name. The record is from RNAcentral.